Long non-coding RNA from Cervus elaphus (red deer), 1202 nucleotides. RefSeq lists it as uncharacterized. Lineage: Eukaryota; Metazoa; Chordata; Mammalia; Artiodactyla; Cervidae. The record is from RefSeq and is a predicted model, not a curated record. The transcript has 5 exons.
UGGAGGUUUGUGCUAUGAGCAAAUCUGAAUCAUGGAGAGAAUGUGAAGGAAAAUGAGGAGCAGUUGAAAAAUACUCCAUAGGAAAGAAAUGAUGAGGAGACUGAGGCUCAGAAGAGUGAAUUAACUUGCUGAAGUUCACCUAGCAGGUAGAAAAAUCUGGUCAAAAGGAAAGUAAAGCCAACAUAGAAUAAUGUUGAGGAUCCCGGAAAUGAAUAAGAGAAAAAUUUAUUGGAGAACUUUAUUUGGACUGGAGGACCCAUUUGUGCAAGUGCAUUCCUUACUAAUAGGUCUUUGUUCUUGCUGUAACCCUCAGCCAGACAGGCUGUCUCUGGCAGAAGAAUACACUUCAUCAAAAGUGUCUGCAGGUUGUCAAACUCAGGGAGGUUUGGGGACCCUCUGAGGCUGUCAUGGUCAACAAGAAGAUUUUCUGUCGGGCUUUGCCAUCACUCACCCCGAGGAAAUAAUCACUCACUACAUUCUGCAUGUUCUCAUGAUAGAGCUCUCCAUUUGAGAGAAAAGAGCCAUUUUAUCAAAGGACAAUAUAGCCCUUCUCUGGGUCCACGUAGCUUCCAUUAUCAGACCAUAAUAAAUCAUAUUUAUGUUCUCAGUUAAUAAGACUGAUUACAACGCAGGUUUCAGACGUGGGAAAAGCAAAGCAGGUUGAAAAGAUGUUUUAAUGAAAAUAUGAUAAGAAAACAGCUUCUUGUGAACAUUCAGUGCUAUUAUUUGUAAUGAUUACAGACAAUUUUUGAUGCAUCUUUAGCAAUGGUUUAAGCUGCAUAAAUUGGCUCACUGGUAGAUAAGUAAAAAUAAUAAGGAAAAAAUCAUGAAAUCAUCUUAUGUUGUCUAGAAUCAUUAUGUACAUAACAAGUGCAAAAUGAGCCUAAUGUAUAUGCUGGGGAUGGAGGGAAAACAGAUUGCUCAGGAAAAGCAUGAUUUGGGUAUUAUUCAAAAUGAUUUAGAAAUUUUCUCCUCAUCUCACUUAUUAAAGGUAUGUGUGCUCUGAAAUUUGGGGGUGCCAGAUAUUAAUUUCAUCUUGUAAAUGAAUCAACUCUACCUCUUUUAUUCAAUCUCAAUGUUGUUUUUCCCUUUCUUUCUUUUUUUUCCCUCCAUGGAGCUCAAUACAGAGAUAUAUAUUUCCUACCCAGUGUUUGGACACAAUUGCCAUUAGUGCUAAUGGGAGUUAAGUGCCUACUUGGGAG